UGAGGAAUAUUGGGCAAUGCCCGCAAGGGUGACCCAGCAACGCCGCGUGGAGGAUGAAUGUCGUAAGAUUGUAAACUCCUGUUAGAGGGGAAGAAUAGUACCGGUUGGACCGGUAUAUGACUGUACCCUCAGAGAAAGCCCCGGCUAACUACGUGCCAGCAGCCGCGGUAAUACGUAGGGGCAAGCGUUGUCCGGAUUUACUGGGUGUAAAGGGCGCGCAGGCGGGAUAAAAAGUCAGUGGUGAAAUCCUACAGCUUAACUGUAGAACUGCCUUUGAUACUUUUAUUCUUGAGUUCGGGAGAGAGAGACGGAAUUCCAGGUGUAGUGGUGAAAUACGUAGAUAUCUGGAAGAACACCCGUUGCGAAGGCGGUCUCUUGGUCCGACACUGACGCUGAGGCGCGAAAGCGUGGGGAGCAAACA
This 421-nucleotide ribosomal RNA is filed under the name uncultured bacterium. RNAcentral describes it as "bacterial SSU rRNA". It matches the Rfam family "Bacterial small subunit ribosomal RNA", at positions 355 to 774 of the family's 1533-position model. The record is from RNAcentral.